RNAcentral lists this ribosomal RNA (406 nucleotides) under uncultured bacterium. Its description in RNAcentral is "bacterial SSU rRNA". It matches the Rfam family "Bacterial small subunit ribosomal RNA", at positions 108 to 507 of the family's 1533-position model. The record is from RNAcentral.
GAGUAAUAUAUCGGAACGUCGCCCAGUCGGUGGGGGAUAACGUAGACGAAAGUUACGCUAAUACCGCAUACGAUCUAAGGAUGAAAGCGGGGGAUCGCAAGACCUCGCGCGAUUGGAGCGGCCGAUAUCAGAUUAGGUAGUUGGUGGGGUAAAGGCUCACCAAGCCAACGAUCUGUAGCUGGUCUGAGAGGACGACCAGCCACACUGGAACUGAGACACGGUCCAGACUCCUACGGGAGGCAGCAGUGGGGAAUUUUUGGACAAUGGACGCAAGUCUGAUCCAGCCAUUCCGCGUGCAGGAUGAAGGCCCUCGGGUUGUAAACUGCUUUGUACGGAACGAAAAGGUUUCUCUUAAUACGAGGAGCUCAUGACGGUACCGUAAGAAUAAGCACCGGCUAACUACGUG